GCUCACUUCAGCAGCACAUCUACUAAAAUUGGAACGAUACAGAGAAGAUUAGCUUGGCCCCCUGUGUAAGGAUGACAGGCAAAUUCAUGAAGCGUUCCAUAUUUUU
This is a small nuclear RNA of Cervus hanglu yarkandensis (Yarkand deer), 106 nucleotides long. The record is from Ensembl. Lineage: Eukaryota; Metazoa; Chordata; Mammalia; Artiodactyla; Cervidae.